GAUGAACGCUGGCGGCGUGCCUAAUACAUGCAAGUCGAGCGAACAGACGAGGGGCUUGCUCCUCUGACGUUAGCGGCGGACGGGUGAGUAACACGUGGAUAACCUACCUAUAAGACUGGGAUAACUUCGGGAAACCGGAGCUAAUACCGGAUAAUAUAUUGAACCGCAUGGUUCAAUAGUGAAAGACGGUUUUGCUGUCACUUAUAGAUGGAUCCGCGCCGCAUUAGCUAGUUGGUAAGGUAACGGCUUACCAAGGCAACGAUGCGUAGCCGACCUGAGAGGGUGAUCGGCCACACUGGAACUGAGACACGGUCCAGACUCCUACGGGAGGCAGCAGUAGGGAAUCUUCCGCAAUGGGCGAAAGCCUGACGGAGCAACGCCGCGUGAGUGAUGAAGGUCUUCGGAUCGUAAAACUCUGUUAUUAGGGAAGAACAAAUGUGUAAGUAACUAUGCACGUAUUGACGGUACCUAAUCAGAAAGCCACGGCUAACUACGUG
This 497-nucleotide ribosomal RNA is filed under the name uncultured bacterium. RNAcentral describes it as "partial 16S ribosomal RNA". It matches the Rfam family "Bacterial small subunit ribosomal RNA", at positions 28 to 507 of the family's 1533-position model. The record is from RNAcentral.